CUCCGGUGUGGCUGGGCCCCCAGCCCUCGCGGUGUCGGGAGCCUGUGUCCCGCGCUGAGCCUCGGUAGCUCAGAGGACUUGAGAACUCGUGUUCUCCACGGCUGAGGAAGACCCAUUUCAGUUCAGACUAGUCCCAUUUCCAGAGCUGGGAAGCAGCCUGUGUGGCUGGAGCAGCGUGAGGAGUGCACAGUGGCGUAAGAUGCAGCGGAAGAGACAGGCCAGAUUUUCUCCAAGCUCUUAUCCUGGUGGACUGCCAAGAAAUUCAGUCUCUCUCANNNNNNNNNNNNNNNGAUCCCCCAAAAGUUUUAAGGGUC
Molecule: long non-coding RNA, 314 nt
Filed under: Ursus maritimus (polar bear)
Lineage: Eukaryota; Metazoa; Chordata; Mammalia; Carnivora; Ursidae
Description: lncRNA (ENSUMAG00000016403.1)
Source: RNAcentral